Pan troglodytes (chimpanzee) is the source of this 306-nucleotide long non-coding RNA. RefSeq lists it as uncharacterized. The transcript is spliced from 3 exons. Lineage: Eukaryota; Metazoa; Chordata; Mammalia; Primates; Hominidae. The record is from RefSeq and is a predicted model, not a curated record.
GUCCUGCGAGCUUAGGGGUGCUACAAGUUGACCACUGCAGCAGUAAAGAUGACUCUGAAGAAUGGCAUGGGAUGGAUCCUUUCGAAUGCACUUGAGCAGCGGUCUCCAACCACAGGGCCACAGAGCUGGAGCUGGAUCUACCAUGAAAGACUUCUGAAUCCAGGAAGAGAGACUGACUGGGCAACAUGUUAUUCAGGGUCUCCCUCUGUUGUCCAAGGCUGGAGUGUAGUAGUGCUAUCGCAGCUGACUGCAGCCUCAACCUUCCAGGCUGAAGCGAUCCUCCCACCUCAACCUCCCACGUGGCUG